AAGAUAAUGUUUACCGACACCAAAAAAAGGACGACCAGACAUUUACCGAUGACUGGGAAGAAACUCGACGUUUACCGACAUCGAAAGAUGAUAUUUACCGACACCAAAAAAGAACGACCAAGCAUUUACCGAUGACUGGGAAGGAACUCGACGUUUACCGACAUCGAAAGAUGAUGUUUACCGACACCAAAAAAGAACGACCAGACAUUUACCGAUGACUGGGAAGAA
This 228-nucleotide long non-coding RNA is filed under the name Lathyrus oleraceus (garden pea). RNAcentral describes it as "Pisum sativum (pea) long non-coding RNA (PSAT_LNC006272)". Lineage: Eukaryota; Viridiplantae; Streptophyta; Magnoliopsida; Fabales; Fabaceae. The record is from RNAcentral.